AAAGGACUUGAUUGCAUUGAGUUUGUGAUCUAAGACUUGGAUUUGAGCAAGGCAAUGAUAUAUGAUGGUUGGUUCCUGAGCCGUGGAGGGCUCGUGACGAAGGAAGGGCUUGUAGUACUUACUCAUGCGAAUGGAUGGCUUAUAUUUUGUACAAUUUUGAUUUGGAAUUUCCUCUGUAUAAUAGUUGGUAUCAAGGAUCGGAGUGGCGCAGCGGAAGCGUGGACGCUUCGCUUAUGACAUGUAAUUCUUGGGGAAUUUGAUGUAAUAUUUGGGAUUUAUAUUGCAAUUUAAUUGAGGACUGUAGUGAACGACUAA
This is a long non-coding RNA of Coffea arabica (coffee), 315 nucleotides long. RefSeq lists it as uncharacterized. NCBI's taxonomy places the organism in Eukaryota, Viridiplantae, Streptophyta, Magnoliopsida, Gentianales, Rubiaceae. The record is from RefSeq and is a predicted model, not a curated record.